UACGAAGGGGGCUAGCGUUGCUCGGAAUUACUGGGCGUAAAGCGCACGUAGGCGGAUUGUAAGUCGGGGGUGAAAUCCUGGAGCUCAACUCCAGAACUGCCUUCGAUACUGGCGAUCUCGAGUUCGGGAGAGGUGAGUGGAACUGCGAGUGUAGAGGUGAAAUUCGUAGAUAUUCGCAAGAACACCAGUGGCGAAGGCGGCUCACUGGCCCGAUACUGACGCUGAGGUGCGAAAGCGUGGGGAGCAAACAGG
RNAcentral lists this ribosomal RNA (252 nucleotides) under uncultured bacterium. Its description in RNAcentral is "partial 16S ribosomal RNA". It matches the Rfam family "Bacterial small subunit ribosomal RNA", at positions 524 to 776 of the family's 1533-position model. The record is from RNAcentral.